UUCUCUUUAAAAGUUGCAGAUUUUGGAGAGUAAGGGAACACUUGGAGAAUUUAUGUCAAUCUUCAAGGCUUGUGAUCUCAGUUAGAAUGAUGAGGGUUCUUUCCCUGCAGCAUAUGCUUUCAUUCACAAGAUAAAUCCCUUGGUGCAGACUCAUUCUGUUCCAAAUAAUACUACUAUUCAUUUUAUUACAUUCAUUUUUAUAGGUGUGUUCAUCUUUUCUUGAUGUACUCUCUUAAAUCCCUUGGUGGAGACUUAUUCUAUUCCAAUUAUUUCCUUUUGAUGUACUCCAUGAAGUAUUUUUAUCAAGGACUGCCAUUUAUAGAUCCUGAGAGGAGGACUUCUCACUUUUGUUUUAAGAUGGACGUAGAAUUUACAAUUAAUAAGAUUCUACAUAAAGUUAUAAAAGUACUACCCCUUUUGUUGGGUCAAGCUUUAAUUUUUAUUGAAAAUUUGGAACAUCACAUUUCGUAACUUUUCUGAGAAAACAUACAUGCUAUAGAUAGUAUUUAAAUUACAUCAUGGCAUUUUAUAAGAACAAAUUAAAUAGCAGAAUUUUAGAAGUGGGCUUUAAAAUGCUUGUCACACAAUCCACUACUUGAUCUACCCAUUCUACAGUUCAUGCUUCAUCAACAGUUAUUCAAUCAGAUUCUGAUACAAGCGUGCUUUAUAUUCCGGGAGAAAAAUUAGAAGGGGUAGAGGAAAACGUAGAGAAGGGUUCUCAUGUGUGAUGAUUUCAUUCCAGGGGUACUUUGCAAGCUGAGCUGAGGUUAUUGUGCAUCUUGUCAAAGCUAUAGGGGAAACAUGAGCAAAUGCACUUCUUAAAUAACAAAGUGGAGGCAAGUGGUUAGGGUGUGUGUACAAACUCUUACUGGUGAUAAGAUUCGUCAGUUACGUUGGAAAACGCCAUUGUGAAAUGCGAAUGCAAUGACUGGAGAACACAAGUGUUUUCAUAGUGGUAUAAUUUGUUACUUUAUCUGUCAAUUGGCGUUUUGCUUAGUUUUCUUAUUUGUUUCAGUUUGUUUGAUGUUAAUACUUAAUAAUAUCUUAUAGAUGAUUCCAAAACAAAAAUGACUGUUCUUUUUUCUAUCUAUAAUCUCUGAAAGGAAAAAAAUGUACUUUGUGUGCCAUGAGAGCACAUUUCCUUUCUAAAUGAUACUUAUGUAAUAACAUUAACGGCUUCCGACUGUUUGCUUAUUGUAAUUUGCAAAUCAUUC
Solanum stenotomum is the source of this 1214-nucleotide long non-coding RNA. RefSeq lists it as uncharacterized. Lineage: Eukaryota; Viridiplantae; Streptophyta; Magnoliopsida; Solanales; Solanaceae. The transcript is spliced from 5 exons. The record is from RefSeq and is a predicted model, not a curated record.